GCCUGGCUAGCUCAGUUGAUAGAGCUUAUGACUCUUAAUCUUGGGAUCAUGAGUUUGAGGCCCAUGUUAGGUG
This 73-nucleotide transfer RNA is filed under the name Felis catus (domestic cat). It matches the Rfam family "tRNA". From Rfam's summary of the family: Transfer RNA (tRNA) molecules are approximately 80 nucleotides in length. Their secondary structure includes four short double-helical elements and three loops (D, anti-codon, and T loops). The record is from Rfam by way of RNAcentral. Lineage: Eukaryota; Metazoa; Chordata; Mammalia; Carnivora; Felidae.